This 443-nucleotide long non-coding RNA is filed under the name Sinocyclocheilus anshuiensis. Its description in RNAcentral is "lncRNA (ENSSANG00000015893.1)". The record is from RNAcentral. Lineage: Eukaryota; Metazoa; Chordata; Actinopteri; Cypriniformes; Cyprinidae.
CUUGCAAAAAGGAGAGGUUGAGUGCAGAAGGAGAAAACCAGCCAACAUACAAUCCAAACGAGAGGCUUUCAAUAAUUACCUGGGUCUAAUUUACAGGCAACCCCUUGAUAUAAGGAUUCCAGAAGAUAUGUUUGAUGUGUAUGCUAUACUUUUUCCACCUAAACUUCCUGAGCUUCCUCCUCUGAGCCCUCCCUCCUUCACCGACAGCUUAUCCACGAGACUACAUUCUCCUAAAACACAGAGCGAACUAGAUGAAGUGCAACGCUUGUAUAAUGAAGAGGAGGAGAAGAAGAAGAAGAAGAGGGAAGAGGCUCACAUGCAUCUCACACCCAUCCCACAAAAACCCCUUCCACCAAUAAAGAGUCCUACACCCCCUCUGACUCCACCCUCCAAGCCUGCCCCACCUUUACUCACCUCUGUCCCUCCCUCGCCCUCUUCUGCCC